This 295-nucleotide long non-coding RNA is filed under the name Lathyrus oleraceus (garden pea). RNAcentral describes it as "Pisum sativum (pea) long non-coding RNA (PSAT_LNC037691)". The record is from RNAcentral. Lineage: Eukaryota; Viridiplantae; Streptophyta; Magnoliopsida; Fabales; Fabaceae.
CCCCUUUUUCAAUCAAUCAGCAUCAACAUCACUUCACCUGCAAAACCAAUUCAAAAUUAAAAAACAGCUUAUCAAAUAAGCACUUAAAAAACUGGAAAAUAAUUAAUAGAAUGAGCAGAUUAAUAUGUUACACGAUGAAUCAAAGAAAGCGCUCAGAAACACACUGCAUUAUCCAAAUAAACAACUUUAAAUCCAUAGAUUAAUCAUCCCACAAAAUCAGGAAACAGGAUCCAACAAGUUAUCUCACAAAAACCAACAUUCAUGUAUAUAAACCACAAAAUUAAUUAACAGUAAC